This 1060-nucleotide long non-coding RNA is filed under the name Cricetulus griseus (Chinese hamster). RNAcentral describes it as "lncRNA (ENSCGRG00015031977.1)". The record is from RNAcentral. Lineage: Eukaryota; Metazoa; Chordata; Mammalia; Rodentia; Cricetidae.
UUAUGAAAUCACAAGUAGAACACAUAAUCAUAUGUAUGUCACAUGUAAUCAUAUGUAAUGUAGAAAAUCACAUGUUCAUGUGUGGUGCAGAAAAAAAUUAUUCAUACACAGUCCCAAUAAGGUAAACUUGAAAUUUUUAGUUGAAAGCCACAGUAUAGAUAGAGGAAAUUGAAAUCAAGUACCCUCAAAUGUCUGAAGGUGAUCCCUUGGGCACUUGGGGAAAUUCCUGGGGUCUUGCCUGUCUUUUGACUCCUAAGGCUGCAUUCUUUCCCUUGGCCCUGUGACCUGGGCCUUUCAUUGCACCUGUCUCAGCAUUGGUGGCUCAUUGCUUGUUGUGGAUCUGUCAGUCCUGUUCAGUGUUACUACGGAGGACUGCUAGAAGCCUCUAGCAGGCCAUUCCUGUAGAGUAGGAAGCAAGAGAAGCUAUGAUGAGGACACUGCCCUGCCCUGGUCCUGGAAUGUUAUCAUCAGUCCAUUCCAGGGCAGCUUAUUUGCUUAAUAAAUCUAACACGGAUGGCCGAUAACUGAAAAAUGACAGUAAAACCUCCCAAGAGUAAAGCCAUUUGCACUAAAAAUAUUUCAGCAUUUGUGUAUUAAGUGAAAAUUAAAACUGAAAGGCCUAAUCUAUUGGGAAAAGAGGUAUGCUAUGCAAAUACCACUAUGAAUAAUGAAUAUCAAAUCACUAUUUGGAUUGAGCACUCACAUAUUCCAGUGAGAACAUUCUACCUGGGACGAAGCUUGAACCCAUCCCUUCUCUUUGACCCUGUAUCCUCUCUGGGGGACUAAUUUUUUUUUACAGAUGUACAUGUAUGUAUGAAGUAUAUGUGUGGAUAUGCAUGCUCAGCCCUGUCUAGUACAUGUGUAUGCAGCUGUACAGACACAGUUGUGUGUGUGUGUGUGUGUGUGUGUCUGGGGGAUGUGUGUAUGUACUUAUGUGUCCUUCCAAAUGCAGAGUCACACAGAGGAAUAUUGUGAAAUUAAAUGUGCAGCAAAAAAAUAAAAAAUACAUGAAUAUGGGAAAGAAACUAGCUGUGAUAGGAAGGUGAUUACAAGGGGCGGG